RNAcentral lists this ribosomal RNA (530 nucleotides) under uncultured bacterium. Its description in RNAcentral is "bacterial SSU rRNA". It matches the Rfam family "Bacterial small subunit ribosomal RNA", at positions 196 to 722 of the family's 1533-position model. The record is from RNAcentral.
CUCCUUGGAAGCCAUCACCGGAAGAUGAGUCUGCGUCCCAUCAGCUAGUUGGUAAGGUAAUGGCUUACCAAGGCGAAGACGGGUAGGCUGGUCUGAGAGGAUGAUCAGCCACACUGGUACUGGAACACGGACCAGACUCCUACGGGAGGCAGCAGUGGGGAAUAUUGGGCAAUGGGCGAAAGCCUGACCCAGCCACGCCGCGUGAGUGAUGAAGGCCUUCGGGGUUGUAAAGCUCUGUGGGAAGGGGCGAAAAACUCAGACCUAAUACGUCUGAGGUUGACGGUACCUUCUUAGCAAGCACCGGCUAACUCUGUGCCAGCAGCCGCGGUAAGACAGAGGGUGCAAACGUUGCUCGGAUUUACUGGGCGUAAAGCGCGUGUAGGCGGGCGAAUAAGUCGGGUGUGAAAUCCCUGGGCUCAACCUAGGAACUGCAUCCGAAACUGUUCACCUGGAGUGAUGGAGAGGAAGGCGGAAUUCCCGGUGUAGAGGUGAAAUUCGUAGAUAUCGGGAGGAACACCAGUGGCGAAGGC